CCUACGGGCGGCAGCAGUCGAGAAUCAUUCACAAUGGGGGAAACCCUGAUGGUGCGACGCCGCGUGGGGGAAUGAAGGUCUUCGGAUUGUAAACCCCUGUCAUGUGGGAGCAAAUUAAAAAGAUAGUACCACAAGAGGAAGAGACGGCUAACUCUGUGCCAGCAGCCGCGGUAAUACAGAGGUCUCAAGCGUUGUUCGGAAUCACUGGGCGUAAAGCGUGCGUAGGCUGUUUCGUAAGUCGUGUGUGAAAGGCGGGGGCUCAACCCGCGGACGGCACAUGAUACUGCGAGACUAGAGUAAUGGAGGGGGAACCGGAAUUCUCGGUGUAGCAGGGAAAUGCGUAGAUAUCGAGAGGAACACUCGUGGCGAAGGCGGGUUCCUGGACAUUAACUGACGCUGAGGCACGAAGGCCAGGGGAGCGAAAGGGAUUAGAUACCCUUGUAUC
Molecule: ribosomal RNA, 445 nt
Filed under: uncultured bacterium
Lineage: Bacteria
Description: partial 16S ribosomal RNA
Rfam family: Bacterial small subunit ribosomal RNA
Source: RNAcentral